GAUGAACGCUGGCGGCGUGCCUAACACAUGCAAGUCGAGCGAGAUUAAUGUGAGUGGAGACUUCGGUCAAAGCAAUCAUUAUGAAAGCGGCGGACGGGUGAGUAACGCGUGAGCAAUCUGCCCCAUACAAAGGGAUACCCACUGGAAACGGUGAUUAAUACCUUAUGAGACCACAAAGCCGCAUGGCUUAGGGGUCAAAGAUUUAUCGGUAUGGGAUGAGCUCGCGUCUGAUUAGCUAGUUGGUGAGGUAAUGGCUCACCAAGGCGACGAUCAGUAGCCGACCUGAGAGGGUGAACGGCCACACUGGAACUGAGACACGGUCCAGACUCCUACGGGAGGCUG
Molecule: ribosomal RNA, 342 nt
Filed under: uncultured Bacillota bacterium
Lineage: Bacteria; Bacillati; Bacillota
Description: bacterial SSU rRNA
Rfam family: Bacterial small subunit ribosomal RNA
Source: RNAcentral